Non-coding RNA from Phoenix dactylifera (date palm), 4967 nucleotides. The record is from RefSeq and is a predicted model, not a curated record. Lineage: Eukaryota; Viridiplantae; Streptophyta; Magnoliopsida; Arecales; Arecaceae.
AACCAAUAUGGUUCACUGAGAAAGCAACCUUGAUUGAUAUUUUCAGUUGAAGCAUAACACAGAAACCUUGUAACACUAAGACUGCCUUGUUCAAGAGUUACAGCAUCAGGAAUGAACUGUACUACCUACACCAGGUAACUUAUAAGCUUUGAGAACAGGAAAUCAUAAUUAUUUGACAUUCAACAAAUACAAACGUAGAAGAGGGGAAUGGAGGUUGCUACACCCAGUUAGAAGAAAGCCUUCUAUUUGUGAAUAGGUUUCAAAUAACUGAUGGCAAAGCUUCCCUUAAAAAAAUCUUUCUCAAAACAAAUAAAAUAAAGAUAAAGUAAUGACAUUAAGCUGCUUCAAAAUCAAGACCUCACUGAAGAAAGCAGCAUCCUGUACACAAACAAGGUUUAUAAAGUUUUAACAGCAUACAGAUGCCAAACUGAAUACAUUAAUAAUGACCGGAAGUUAGCCUCAUUCUGAUGCCAACUUCCUGCAAGACCUUUCCAUACUCAUCUGAUGCUUGAGCAAAGCCAGGUCAGUCUGCCAUUGUCCACCUAAUCAGUGAAAACCAAAAAUUUUGGACAGACAAAGACACAUUUUCUCAUUUCUCCUAACCUCUUCUAUCCAAAAAAACAUGGUUUAUCCAGUAGGAUCAUCUCAUACCGCUAAUGGUAGGCUUGACUUAAUUGAGCUCAAAAACAUUUCCUGAUUCCUACAAUGCUUACAUAUGUUUUCUAGACUCAGUUCCAUCAAGAGAACAAAGCAUCUCCAUUAUUCACUGAUAUCAGAUUUUGCAAUGAUGGUCAAUGGAAAUAUCUCUCCUGCAGAAGGAAGUCAGGGGAGAGCCAUCUCUUGCUUCCAAACUGGUCACUUGCAGGGCCGGCUUGAGCCCUAGGCGACUGAGGCGGUCGCCUAAGGCCCCCGGCCCCAAAGAAGGCCCCCCGCUGCCGCCGCACCGCGCUGCGUCGCUGCCCAAAGAAGACCCCGCUGCUGCGCUGCACCGCAGUUUCACAGCAGUGGCACUGUGGCAGUAGCUACUAACCUACCGCCUGGCGCCUAGCUGCCUACAACAAUGGACAGUCGACAAGACAAGCAACGGACGACUCCUUCCCCCCUUCUCGUAGAGCCAACGGCUCCCUCGACAAGAUGACUGAGGCUCCUCUUCUGCAGCUCUGCUUCACCGACCACCCUCUUCUGUCUUUGUCUUCAUCGUGACCAACAAGGGCCGAAGGGCGCCGCCGCGCCGGCGAGCCGGCGAGGUCGUCUCCUUGCCUCUCUCCCGUCCCGCGACCUCCUUGCCUCUCUCCCGUCCCCUAAGGCCUAAGUCCCUGACUCCCAUCUUCUUCACAUCAGCCCGCUGCACUUGUAAGUCUCUCUCUCUAGAUGGACAAGAAAGAUGUUUGAGAAAAUGCCUAUGAAAAUUUGUGCGCCUAAUUCCGUAGUUUGUUUGUCUUGGCAUCAGAUGUCUAUUGGUUGAGCCGUUGAGGUCAAUCCAAUCCAUUUACAGCAGUCGUUCGGUCAUGCGCCGUGAAGUUGAUAAUUGCACUUACAUUCUGCAUUCAUUUGAGUGGCAUUACCUUUUGCAAGUUCCUGCCGAUCUUGAAAUCAUACUGCUUCCCCGGUUCCCCCUCCCUCAUAGGAACUCACCGAAACAUUUGUCCAGCAUUGCUUGAAAUUGGUGCUUCCUUGCUUCUAAUGUACUUAUUGAUUUGAUCUACAAGCAGCCUUCCUUAUCUUUUCUGGGUGAAUGUUGGAUAGGAUGAUUCUUUCAGUUUUAUUUUUUUAUAUCUUGCAUUGUGCCAUUGUCCCUGUGUUGGUGCUCUAAGCAUUAGAAGCAGAGCUCAAUUCUCAAGUUCCUUUCUCUAGCCUUGUCAACAAGUAGAAGUUGAACACCCUUUUUCUAUCUUUUUUUAUUGGAGUUUAGAGAUUUAUUGUCUCUCAUGGGGCAAAAAUUACUUUCAUCCACUAAACAUAAGACUGUUUGAAUUCAACCAAUAUUUUCCUGUAUAUCUUUCCUUUGGAGAUAGCAUCUCAAUUUCUUACACACACACACCCCCCGGCACCCAAAAAAAAGUCUAUUGUAGAAUUUUUUUAGGAUUGAAACAAUACUGUUUAAAUAUGAAAAUCGCUUAUUUCACCUCAUUGGUUUGAUAGUUUUAGAUCCAGUUUCAACUAUUUUAAUAUAAAGAUGGCAUCAUGCUUAAAGAAUUAAUUUUAUACUUUUUGAAAACAGAAUGUUUGAAUAGCCCCAUUGGUUUGUUUUACCUGGAAAUUCGAAAACAGCACAGGUUUUGGAUUGGUUCUAGCUGAAAUUUUGACAUUCUGCUCUCAGUUUCCGUGCCAUGGGGAAAAGCCACAAAGUAUUAUAACAAAUUUCUCCUACUAUGGUUUACUAAUUGGAACAUUAAUUUUUUUUUGUUAUUCUUAUCUUUCUAUAUAAAAUUAUAGAUUAAUUAGUUUCAUCUUACUGUUUUUGAAUAGUUUGCAUGCUGGGUGUUCUUUAAUCUCGACCGUUUUUAAAGUAUUUUACACUUAUUAAAAUAUUUUUAUCAUUUUUUAGAAAAAAAAAAGCCUCUCUCAGUGAGUUCGCCUUAGGCCCCCAAAUAUAUUGAGCCGCCCCUGGUCACUUGUCCAAUAAAGAGAUGGAGAACCCGCCUGCGAGGAGGGUAGGUUAAGAGAGAGAAUGAAGAUUGUCCUUUUAUUCUGCUUGCACUCUGUGGGAGGCAGGAGGAAAAUAUUUUUGCUAUGUCAAUGCAGAAUCAGGAGACAACUUUUACAGGAAGCAGGCAGUGUCCUCAAGUAGCAACCAAAAUGUGGAAUUUAUAUAGUAAGAUUGUGUUAAUUUGUAAAAAAGAAAGAGAAAUUUAGUUUGAGUUUGCUAGUUGACCAAGCUUCCCCUUGGAAAGUAAUAAGACUCUGAAAGAAUUCAACCUAUUGACCCAAAACGUAUUUACCUUCAAAGUUAAGUUAGUUGAUCUAACCACAAAAAAGGUUUCUUGAUGAGUUCUCUGCUAGGAUCAUAUUAUGCACUCCAUCAACUAUAGGGGCAUCAAAGAACCCAGCUAGCUUGGCUCAUCUUGAGCUGAAACUGAGCUCAGAUGUUAGACUCAUAACCUGAAACCUAGCUUAAAUCAGGCUUGGUUAGAAGUAGCUUGUACCAAGCUUAUGGACUAGGCUAAAUACAGGCUAACAUCUAUUUAUAUUUAUUUACAUAUGACAGAUGUGCAUGCAUAGUGAGUUGAAAAACUAGUAUUUGCUUUGUAAUAACUUAGACUUUUCAUAUGCCUGGAACUAUAUUAAAUUGAUUAUAUCCAAUGGUAUCAAAUUAUGGCGGACACUACAACUAAAGUUGUCUCUUGGGCUGAUAUUUCAAGAACUUUCUUCACCUAAAAACUUUCCAACUUUAAGGCAAAUUUAGCAGGGCUGCUCCAGAUGGCAUAAGCUCAAGCUCUUCCAAUAAUGCAAGCCUCUGCCUACCAAUUAGUUUUCUAGAGUUCAGGAUAAGCCUGCCUUCAGUACUCAGAUACUUCAACUUAGGGUACGACGCCCCCCCCAGAAGCUCAUUCCUGGACCUGUUUCCUAAGUAUUUUGAUUUUCUAAUUAUUUUUUAACAGAAUCACUUCCCUAUACCCACAGCUUAAUCCAAGUACUCAGAUACUUCAACUUAGGGUACCACACCCACUCAGAAGCUCAUUCCUGGACCUGUUUCCUAAGUAUUUUGAUUUUCUAAUUAUUUUUUAAGAGAAUCACUUCCCUAUACCCACAGCUUAAUCCAUUGCUGCACUUGUUCUAACUUCUGGUAAGUAAGGGUCCGCUAGUGCCGAAAGUUGCCUGGUCCAAGAACUCAAAACCAUUUUUACAGGACUGAUAUCAAGUUGACAAGUAGACUUGGUGAACACUUUUAUCAAUCCUUCUCAGCUAAAAAUUAUGUUCCAUAGGUGACCCUAAAUUGGUGGCAGAAAAGCCUCGGAGAUGACGAUACUGGCUUAUUGGCUUUAAAACAUAUUUCAUACAGAAUUGGGACCGAGUAUGCUAAAUCUUAGAUGUACACUGCUGCACCGAGCCUAAAUCCAAGAUAAUCCAAUGAACCAAGUUGAACUUGAAUCAAGGAAAAUCUGAAAGAGAUGAUGCAAGCAAAUCCCAUCCCUCAGGACUGCAAGUCAAACUCUAGCUGCGCAAAGCUUUUAAAAUCAGCUAAACUUGUUGACACUGCUAACUUAAAGCUUCACAUAGUUCAUGAAGUUGUCAAUCCAUAUGUAUGCAUGCAUAUGCUAAUCAAGACAAGGCUAGCUUGACACAGGCUCUAUUGGUCAAAUGGAUCUGCGCUAAAACUCAAGCACCAGUACUAGCCAAAAGAUGUUAGUGGGCUCAAUCUUGGCUGGCAGUAAACUGAUGUUGCAAGCAAAGUGAGCAAAAUCUUUUAUUGGACUCCCUAAACAGAGACAUUUUUAAAAGAGUUCGGACGUGGUGCAUAAUGUGGUGAUGUCUCUCUCGCAGUUAUAUGAUUGUUGUGUCAACAGGAUUUAAGAGUAGGAUUAUGAAAUACUGAUCAGCAGUGACUGAGAUAGGGAGGCAGCAGUCAUAUAGUGGGAAGAAGUGUGAGGAAGAAGCAAACUAGUUCGGGAGGCUACAGCCACUAAGUGGUGGCAGUAUAAGGAUGAUACUAACAUCAUGGGUAGCACAUAUAUAUGUGGAAUCAACCUCACAGAUGUAAAAACAUGUUUAGUGGAGAACAAUGGUUUCCAGCUAAUAUCAUGAUGUCAUGAGCCUAAAGAGGUGUACAAAUGUCGCAUCACAGUAAUAAUGAAUCUUUUGCAUUGUGGAUAAACCAAGACAUACACUUUCAGAGGCCAAAGCCCCACAUGUAUUAUGCUCUCAUACUACAUAACAAUUAAGCUGUACCAAAAUACAUGGAACUAUAAAUAUUCAUGGCAGCUGCAGCAGCUCAUGAUAUGAGGAUAUGGUUGUAAGACAUGCAA